GCUGUGUGCAGUGGCACACGCCUGUAAUCCCAGCAGCUUGGGAGGCUGAGGCAGGAGGAUCUCGAGUUCAGAGCCAGUCUCAACAAUUUAGUGAGACCCUAAGCAACUCAGUGAGACCCUGUCUCU
RNAcentral lists this small RNA (126 nucleotides) under Marmota monax (woodchuck). The record is from RNAcentral. Lineage: Eukaryota; Metazoa; Chordata; Mammalia; Rodentia; Sciuridae.